Molecule: small nuclear RNA, 23 nt
Filed under: Arabidopsis thaliana (thale cress)
Lineage: Eukaryota; Viridiplantae; Streptophyta; Magnoliopsida; Brassicales; Brassicaceae
Description: snRNA_17890
Source: RNAcentral
UGUACAUCGUUGGAAAUCUCUUA